UAUACGCAUAUAUAUAAUUUUCACCUCCGCAUAGCGCGGUAGGGGGGAGGGCAGUCCCCCCUCCGCCCCCCAAGCAUCAUCCACGGGAUUACGCGCCUGGCCGCGCUGCUGCAUCGCCUGCCGGACGGAGGGACCACGGCGGGGCUGCACAGGGGGUAUUUCCUUCUCUCCUCGUAUGGGGGGGGGAUGGUUUGGGGUUGGGGUCGGGAAGUGUGGGGAGCACGACACCCCUCAGCACCCCACGGGGGAGGGAGGGUGCAGUGGGGGCUGCGUCCCCCCUUUUCCACACCCUUUUCUCCCCCUUCGAGGGCUGGGGAGGGGGGAGCCGGGAUGGUUUAUCGGGGGGGGGGGUGUGCUCUGCCUGUGUUUCCCCCUCCCUCAAGUCGUACCCGGGUGACCUUUCAAAUCCAAGCCCCGCUCGUACCUACCGAGAUGCAUUGGCCAGCAAGGGCUGGGGGAUGAUGGGGAGGGGGGUGAUGCACCCGGGCUCCCCCACUCCCCCUGCCUCCCCCCUCCCUCCAUCCAUCCCUCCCUCCCUCCCUCCCUGCUCCCUCCCUCCCUCUCUCUGCUGCAUUUUGCAUGAGCUAUCUAGGUCAUUAGCAUUUUAGCGUAUGCAAGACUUGACAAAGCUGAUGAGAAGCCAGAUGGGCCCCUCUCCUCUUUUUUUUUUUGCACCACUUGGGAUCCGAGCGGAAGGACUGACUGCAGCCGGCGGUCGGGGGCAGGUUCCUACCGCUGCCCGGCCCCCCCCCAACCCCCGGCAGAGCAGAGCAGCGCGGCGGGGCUGGGGAAGGCGGCGGAGCGGGCAGCGGCGGGCAGAGCCGCGGGCAGGCCCCUCUCUCCGUGUUCACAGCGGACCUUGAUUUAAAUGUCCAUACAAUUAAGGCACGCGGUGAAUGCCAAGAACGAGGCUGACCAGCAUCGAGGCCGGAGGAGGCUCUCCGCACCCGCGGAACCCCCCGAACCCCUUUAAUCCCUCUACCCCCCACACCAGGCUCUGCCGCUCUGCGCACCGGCGCAGGUGGCACCCGCAGCGCGGAGGGGGGGGGGGGGGGGAAGGGGGGAAGAGGGAUGGGGAGGUCGGCACUUUUUGGGGGGUCCCGGGAAGAAAAGCGGGGUGGUCCCUGAGCGCAGAGGCACCCGGGGGAUGAAAUCCGGAGCUGUCACUCGGGGUGACCCGCGGGGGGAGAACGGGGGGUCUGCUGCUUUGUGCUUUGCCUUUUCUCUCCGCUUUUCUCGGCGGGAUGGUGGGGUUUUCCUUGCUAAAAGCAAGGGCAGGUCUUGGGGUCACCGGGGCUCACGCUGCUCCCGCGGUGGGGGGGUUGGGGGGGGGAGGUUAGGGCAAAGCCGCUUUUUUCUUUAUGUUUUUAAACCUUUAUUAUUAUUACCGCAUAUUUUUUUUCCGGUGGCUGUUUGUGUGUCUUUCCCCUCCACCCCCCACCCCCCCCCUUUAUUUCUCUUUUAAUCCUUAUAAUUUAAAUCAAAAGUGCCGGGGAGAAGAAGGGGGGAGCGCUGUGUCUGCAGGGCGAGGCCGGGAGUAAAUCUCUUGGAGGGAUAAACAUGUCAUUUGUUCCCUUUGUAUGGUAAUGUCUUGCUGCCCCCCCCCCCCCCCCCCCGGCAGCUGCCCCGGCCAUACAUCCUCCCUACAAAAGACCCCAAUUACCCAUCGACUGCCUCAUUAUACUCCUUACACAGCCCCGGCGAGAGGCGUGUGUGUGCGAGGAGCCGAGGGGAGUAGGGGAAGGAAGGGGAGGGGAGAAACAGCACCUGAAUUAUUCAAAAAAUAAAAUAAAAAUCAAGAAACUGGAAGCCCGUGGGGAGGGGGGUGCUGCGGGGGGGGAUGCUCCGACCCCGCGGCCUAAGCAGAGUGGGUACCCCGCAGAGCUGCCUGCAGCGCAGGGGCUGCUCCGCACCACCCUCCUGUCUGAUUUUCCCUUUCCUUUUUCAUGCUUUUCUUUUUAUUUCAUCUUUUCCCCUUCACCUUUUUAGCCAGAGAGGUGCCUGGGAGCCCAUCGCCAAACCCCUGCCCCACUCCCCGCUGGGGCCCUUCCCCUCCCUGCCUUUCUCCCAGCCCUUCACCUCCCUUCCCUUCUCUUUGCAGCUGGAGGCCAACCUGCCCCACAUGCCUGCAUCCCUACAUCCCUGCAUCCCUCCAUCCCCAUGUCAUCCCUCUACCCCAUGGCCAGUGCAUUGCUCCCAGCAGGUGCUUUGAACUGAGCAAGAACAGGCCUUACUGGAGGGGAUGGGGUAGCUGCACCCGGGCUGGGGGAGCCAGGAUGGUGGUGGUGGGGGCUCCAUCUCUCUUUGCAGCUCUGCAUGCAGACCCUCACGCAUGGGAAGGUGCCUGUGGGAGCAUUGACAGGAGCUCGGGGUCCCUGGGACGCAUCUUUGCACCCCGUCCCCGGGGUGCUGCAGGUAUUUCAGGGCAACCCUCCCUAGGCUUGCAUCCUGAGUGGUGUGGAUGUCACAAGGAGCCCUGUCGUGUCAUGCCUUGCCGUGCCAAUAAAGCUCUUUCGCUGCGGGCUCCUGCAUCCUCUCCUUUGUU
This is a long non-coding RNA of Neopsephotus bourkii (Bourke's parrot), 2545 nucleotides long. RefSeq lists it as uncharacterized. NCBI's taxonomy places the organism in Eukaryota, Metazoa, Chordata, Aves, Psittaciformes, Psittacidae. The transcript is spliced from 2 exons. The record is from RefSeq and is a predicted model, not a curated record.